UUGGCCCUGAAUCAAGGCCAGCAGUUUGCUGAAGUGGUUGGCUUCAGGCUGGAGUUUAAAGAAUUGUCUUUCUUUGGCCAUUUCAGAACUUUGGAAAUGUAAUGAUCAAUUUGUUAAAAAGAAACACCU
Molecule: small nucleolar RNA, 129 nt
Filed under: Carlito syrichta (Philippine tarsier)
Lineage: Eukaryota; Metazoa; Chordata; Mammalia; Primates; Tarsiidae
Source: RNAcentral